This is a non-coding RNA of Kogia breviceps (pygmy sperm whale), 859 nucleotides long. The record is from RefSeq and is a predicted model, not a curated record. Lineage: Eukaryota; Metazoa; Chordata; Mammalia; Artiodactyla; Physeteridae.
AACAGUCCCGAAAAGGGGACUUGUCGUCCCUGUUUUAUGACUGAGUAAACUGAGGCUGAGAGACAGAAAGUACCUCUCCCCAAGCCAUGGAACCAUGGUGUUUGGAUCUAUAGGAAAUAUGGAUGCAGUGCUCCUGAACCAUGCCUUCCAUCUAAGCACGCAAGAGGAAUUUUGAAGAUGAUCAGAGGAGAUUCAUAUUGGUGAAGGAAGUGAAAUCAUUUGAAUUCCACUUGGCAGUUCCAGAAAUGUGCAUUGUGGGGAUUAACUGGGUUUGUGCUACUCCAGCAAUUCACUUGUGUGAUGUCCAGAGACAUAGCCCAGUGUUGGUGGUGCACUGGUGAGCAGAGCUGCCUUCCCAAGACAUAGCAUCUUCUAUAACAGAGGAAGGACAGAGGGCGGGGAGAGGGGGAAACAUAUGGACUCUGGAGCCAGAUACUCCUGCAUUUCUACCGCUUCUACCUUCCUUCACUGCUUUACAUCUGUGUGACUUUACUGAAUUUGCCGGCGCCUUCAUCUUGGAUUUCCCAGCCUCCAUAACGGUGAAGAACCGAAAAGAAAAAUGGAUAUCUUUGAUUAAAAAGCAAGAAGAGGGGUCCCUUCAUCAUUACCCACCUACUGUGGAAAGUCUGCACGAAGCACCUGAGGUGGCUCCAUUAAUGCUUUCUUUCAGAAAAGGGAAAUCUACAAAUCCGGGCCAACUCCUCUCUGCUGCUGAUCCGGGCACCUGAAAUCUCUGGCACAGGCUGUUUGCAAAACGUAUACUUCGGCUGGCUGUAUGUCUCGCUGUUCCAAGUAGCCAGGAAAGUGGAAGAGGCACUUUGCUGCUGUGCUUUUUCUGCCUUCCACCUGGUUAAGAAUC